GGAAGACUGCGCGCUCUUUCUAACCUCACCUCUCUUUCGGCCUGUAUGGCGGCGGGGGUUCGGACGGUCCGGGGCCUGUGGCCGCCUGGCUUCCGACGGCUGGGGCGCAGGGCAGGAGCGCGCGGCCGCCCUGAGUCUAGUGAGGCUGGCCCCGCGGCCGGGCCGGGUCCGAGGCUCCCGGUCCCUGAACGCGUGGAGGGCAGCGGCCUGGUCUGGCCUCCGCCACGUUGUCGGUUUUAAUUUUCGUUCAGGUGAAAGAUGGACGCUUGAAGCAUAGACUGACUGCUGCUAGCUGACUACUUACUAUCUGGGAGCACAAAGAUGACCUAAGGAUGUCCUCGGUGAGGAACUUGACAACUUGAUCUUCGGGUGUUGCUUAGAGUAUUUAAAAUUUCCAGGAUUGCUUAAAAAAAAUACUGCUUUUGGAUAGUCCAUAAAUGUACAUCUAAAACAGUGGGGCUAUAAAUAAAAUAAUUUAAUGUG
Molecule: long non-coding RNA, 483 nt
Organism: Eubalaena glacialis (North Atlantic right whale)
Lineage: Eukaryota; Metazoa; Chordata; Mammalia; Artiodactyla; Balaenidae
Exons: 3
Source: RefSeq, a predicted model, not a curated record